RNAcentral lists this ribosomal RNA (253 nucleotides) under uncultured bacterium. RNAcentral describes it as "partial 16S ribosomal RNA". It matches the Rfam family "Bacterial small subunit ribosomal RNA", at positions 524 to 776 of the family's 1533-position model. The record is from RNAcentral.
UACGUAGGGUGCAAGCGUUGUCCGGAAUUAUUGGGCGUAAAGAGCGUGUAGGCGGCCCGAUUAGUCCGCUGUGAAAGUCCAGGGCUCAACCCUGGAAUGCCGGUGGAUACUGUCGGGCUAGAGUCCGGAAGGGGCGAGUGGAAUUCCUGGUGUAGCGGUGAAAUGCGCAGAUAUCAGGAGGAGCACCAAUGGCGAAGGCAGCUCGCUGGGACGUGACUGACGCUGAGACGCGAAAGCGUGGGGAGCAAACAGG